CAGAGGCGGCGGAGGCGGCAGAGGUGCACCUGGUGGUAGAGGCGGAGGAAGAGGUCCUCCUGGUGGUCGCGGUGGCAGAGACGGUGGUCGUGGUGGCGGCC
RNAcentral lists this non-coding RNA (101 nucleotides) under Durinskia baltica. Lineage: Eukaryota; Dinophyceae; Peridiniales; Kryptoperidiniaceae. The record is from RNAcentral.